GGAACUGUGCCCGAACGCUCAGGGACCACUUUGAUAGAGUGCCAUACGAGGGUUAAAAUCCCUCCAGCUCCU
RNAcentral lists this transfer RNA (72 nucleotides) under Hepsetus odoe (African pike characin). RNAcentral's name for it is "tRNA-Ile". It matches the Rfam family "tRNA". From Rfam's summary of the family: Transfer RNA (tRNA) molecules are approximately 80 nucleotides in length. Their secondary structure includes four short double-helical elements and three loops (D, anti-codon, and T loops). Lineage: Eukaryota; Metazoa; Chordata; Actinopteri; Characiformes; Hepsetidae. The record is from RNAcentral.